RNAcentral lists this RNase P RNA (230 nucleotides) under Enterobacter cloacae. RNAcentral's name for it is "partial RNase P RNA component class A". It matches the Rfam family "Bacterial RNase P class A", at positions 130 to 367 of the family's 367-position model. From Rfam's summary of the family: Ribonuclease P (RNase P) is a ubiquitous endoribonuclease, found in archaea, bacteria and eukarya as well as chloroplasts and mitochondria. Its best characterised activity is the generation of mature 5'-ends of tRNAs by cleaving the 5'-leader elements of precursor-tRNAs. Lineage: Bacteria; Pseudomonadati; Pseudomonadota; Gammaproteobacteria; Enterobacterales; Enterobacteriaceae. The record is from RNAcentral.
AUGGCCCACGCAAGUGGGAUCAGGUAAGGGUGAAAGGGUGCGGUAAGAGCGCACCGCGCGGCUGGUAACAGUCCGUGGCACGGUAAACUCCACCCGGAGCAAGGCCAAAUAGGGGUUCACAUGGUACGGCCCGUACUGAACCCGGGUAGGCUGCUUGAGCCAGUGAGCGAUUGCUGGCCUAGAUGAAUGACUGUCCACGACAGAACCCGGCUUAUCGGUCAGCUUCAACU